Molecule: ribosomal RNA, 315 nt
Filed under: uncultured eukaryote
Lineage: Eukaryota
Description: partial 18S ribosomal RNA
Rfam family: Eukaryotic small subunit ribosomal RNA
Source: RNAcentral
CCCUUAGAUGUCCUGGGCCGCACGCGUGCUACACUGACACUUACACCGAGUUUUUCCGGCCCCGAGAGGUGGCUGGUAAUCAGUAAUAGGUGUCGUGAUGGGGAUAGAUCUUUGGAAUUAUUGAUCUUGAACGAGGAAUGCCUAGUAAUCGUAGGUCAUCAGCCUGCGAUGAUUACGUCCCUGUCCUUUGUACACACCGCCCGUCGCUCCUACCGAUUUCGAGUGGUCCGGUGAACCUUUCGGACAGAGAGAGUCUCGUACAAUCUCUGAAAGUCAAGUAAACCACAUCACUUAGAGGAAGGAGAAGUCGUAACA